RNAcentral lists this ribosomal RNA (450 nucleotides) under uncultured bacterium. RNAcentral describes it as "partial 16S ribosomal RNA". It matches the Rfam family "Bacterial small subunit ribosomal RNA", at positions 354 to 796 of the family's 1533-position model. The record is from RNAcentral.
GUGGGGAAUCUUCCGCAAUGGACGAAAGUCUGACGGAGCAACGCCGCGUGAGUGAAGAAGGUUUUCGGAUCGUAAAGCUCUUUCGUUAGGGACGAACGUGCUCUUUGUGAAUAAUGAGGAGUAAUGACGGUACCUAAAUAAGAAGCCACGGCUAACUACGUGCCAGCAGCCGCGGUAAUACGUAGGUGGCAAGCGUUGUCCGGAAUUAUUGGGCGUAAAGCGCGCGCAGGCGGGAUAUCAAGUCUGUCUUAAAAGUGGGAGGCUCAACCUCGUGAGGGGACAGAAACUGGUAUUCUUGAGUGUCGGAGAGGAAAGUGGAAUUCCAAGUGUAGCGGUGAAAUGCGUAGAGAUUUGGAAGAACACCAGUGGCGAAGGCGACUUUCUGGACGAUGUCUGACGCUGAGGCGCGAAAGCUAGGGGAGCGAACGGGAUUAGAUACCCGAGUAGUCC